This 1155-nucleotide long non-coding RNA is filed under the name Olea europaea subsp. europaea. Lineage: Eukaryota; Viridiplantae; Streptophyta; Magnoliopsida; Lamiales; Oleaceae. The record is from RNAcentral.
CUACCAGUCAACCUCUGUACCUCUUUCUUGUUCCUUGGUGAUUCCAUAGAUGCCAAGGCUUGUAUUUUGUCAGGGUUGGCCUCUAUCCCCCGAUGAGUGAUCAUAAAGCCCAAGAACUUGCCCGAGGCAACGCCGAAUGCACAUUUCGCGGGGUUCAACUUCAUUCCGUACUUUCGCAAGGUGUUGAACACUUCUUCAAGAUCUGAAAUAUGUUGGUCCACCUGUUUGCUCUUGACCACCANAGCGCAUUGGAUCUCUGUUUGUUUGUCAGGGCUGAUGAUGAUGACCCCUGCGCCCGAGCCCGAGGAGUUCGAUGCUCCAUCCACAAAUAUUUGCCAAGUGUCCAAAUUAGUGCUCAUGCUCGAGCUCUCACCUGGCCCCCGAGGCCUAGGGGUUAGUUCUGCAAUGAAGUCGGCCAGAGCUUGGGCUUUGAUAGAUGGGCGUGGUUUGAAUUCUAUGUCAAAUUCCCCAAGCUCGAUUGCCCAUUUCAUCAGUCUUCCUGAUACGUCCGGCUUCUGAAGUAUAUGCCUAAGUGGUUGAUUAGUGAGCACCACAAUAGGAUGAGACUGGAAAUACUGCCUGAGUUUCCGUGCUGCUACAACCAAGGCAAGGGCAAGUUGUUCCGCCAAAGUAUACCUUGUUUCCGCAUCUAGUAGGACCUUGCUUACAUAGUAGAUCGGUUGUUGGACUUUGUUAACCUCUUUCACCAAGACCCCGCUGACCGCAUUUUGAGAUACGGCCAGGUACAAAAACAAAGUGUCACCAGGCUCAGGCUUUGUUAGAAUUGGAGGAGAUGCUAAUGUCUGUUUGAGCUCCUGAAGAGUUUUCUCACAGUCUUCACUCCAUUCAAAGCCUUGGUUUUCUCUGAGGACUUUGAAGAAGGGAUAGCCCCUGUCUGAUGCUCGGGACAUGAACCUGUUCAAGGCUGCUAUCCUGCCAGUCAACCUCUGUACCUCUUUCUUGUUCCUUGGUGAUUCCAUAGACGCUAAUGCUUGUAUUUUGUCAGGGUUGGCCUCUAUCCCCCGGUGGGUGAUCAUGAAGCCCAAGAACUUGCUCGAGGCCACGCCAAAUGCACAUUUUGCGGGGUUCAACUUCAUCCCGUACUUUCGCAAGGUAUUGAACACUUCUUCAAGAUCUGAAAUAUGUUGGUCCACC